GGAGGAGUUCUGGCCAGGAGCUGCCACCCAUCGUGACCCCGCAGAAGUUUGGAUACCUCUCAACGUCACACAGCCGUCUGCUUCUUCACAUAUGGCACUGCAUGUGAAGCCAGGAUCCUACUCUAGCCAGCCAGAGGUGACGGUGGCACUGGGAUCCAUACACCCACAAAGGGCAGGAUGCUGUAGAGCUGGUCUUCAGGAAUGCUCACGGAAACGUGUCCCCUGGGCUGCACUCACUUGACGGAGAUGGAGAACUCCCCCGGCGCGCUCUCGCUCUCACGGAUCAGGAAGGCUCCCACGUAUCUGCGCUUGAGGAGCAGCUCCUCCGCCACGUGCCGAGAGAUCCUCCCCGCGUACCACCUGCCAGGG
Lagopus leucura (white-tailed ptarmigan) is the source of this 369-nucleotide long non-coding RNA. RefSeq lists it as uncharacterized. NCBI's taxonomy places the organism in Eukaryota, Metazoa, Chordata, Aves, Galliformes, Phasianidae. The transcript is spliced from 3 exons. The record is from RefSeq and is a predicted model, not a curated record.